RNAcentral lists this ribosomal RNA (219 nucleotides) under uncultured bacterium. Its description in RNAcentral is "partial 16S ribosomal RNA". It matches the Rfam family "Bacterial small subunit ribosomal RNA", at positions 1284 to 1500 of the family's 1533-position model. The record is from RNAcentral.
GUUCUCAGUUCGGACUGUAGGCUGCAACUCGCCUACACGAAGCUGGAAUCGCUAGUAAUCGCGGAUCAGCACGCCGCGGUGAAUACGUUCCCGGGCCUUGUACACACCGCCCGUCACACCAUGAGAGUCUGUAACACCCAAAGCCGGUGGGAUAACCUUUAUAGGAGUCAGCCGUCUAAGGUAGGACAGAUGAUUAGGGUGAAGUCGUAACAAGGUAUC